AGAGUUUGAUCAUGGCUCAGAUUGAACGCUGGCGGCAUGCCUUACACAUGCAAGUCGAACGGCAGCACGGGGGCAACCCUGGUGGCGAGUGGCGAACGGGUGAGUAAUAUAUCGGAACGUGCCCUGGAGUGGGGGAUAACUAGUCGAAAGACUAGCUAAUACCGCAUACGAUCUAUGGAUGAAAGUGGGGGAUCGCAAGACCUCAUGCUCGUGGAGCGGCCGAUAUCUGAUUAGCUAGUUGGUAGGGUAAAAGCCUACCAAGGCAUCGAUCAGUAGCUGGUCUGAGAGGACGACCAGCCACACUGGGACUGAGACACGGCCCAGACUCCUACGGGGGGCAGCAG
This 344-nucleotide ribosomal RNA is filed under the name uncultured bacterium. Its description in RNAcentral is "bacterial SSU rRNA". It matches the Rfam family "Bacterial small subunit ribosomal RNA", at positions 8 to 354 of the family's 1533-position model. The record is from RNAcentral.